Molecule: long non-coding RNA, 2197 nt
Organism: Lutzomyia longipalpis
Lineage: Eukaryota; Metazoa; Arthropoda; Insecta; Diptera; Psychodidae
Exons: 2
Source: RefSeq, a predicted model, not a curated record
UAUUAAUUACUUCAAAAAGAGCACAUGCAGUGAAUAAAAAGAUUAAAUUCGCUGGAGUUUGCAGAGUGUGUUGGGUGUGUGCUGAACGAUUUGCAUUUUGCACCUUCGUAAAUUUGCUUGAAAUUUCAAUUAAAAAUUGCAAAGUGUGUGAGAAAAUUCUGCAAUGCAAUUAAGGCGGGGAGGGAUGAAUGUAAAAUGCCUCUGCACGUUUUUCAUUAAGACAUCGUCGUAAGAAAUUCCUCUAGCCUUGUUGCUAUGUAUACCACCUCCCCCCAUCGUGUGUGGAUUAUUUUAACUCAUUUGUCAGGAAAUUAAAAAAUCUACAUCAUCUCAAUGGGGCGUUUAGUGUGGAAAAUAUCCUCAAGUCUCUUCGGCAUAUAUUUGUUCUUCGUGAAGUUAAUUCAGCGGAAAAUAUUUAUUUGUCUAGCACGAGAUGGGGGGAUUCUGUGGGGGCGUAGGAGGGGGCGUGUGAUGCCAUUGUAAAGGAGCUCAGGACGUGCUUCACACGAAUGAGGAGCAAAGUACAUGCAAAUAUUUCCUCGCACGGUUGGUGCGCUAACAUUUGUAUUAGUGGGAUGUACAUCAUUUUGGACACUAUUCCUCCAGAGGUGAUAAUUUGAGCAACGAGAACGGUGUGUCAGGUGCGAAAUGGAUGUUGCUGCCACCCUCUGCCUUCACUAUGCAUCCACAUGGAUCAUUUUGUUCUAAUGAGUUUGGAUAAUUUUUUGGCGCAAACAUCGGACAUUUUUUCCCGUUGUUGUUGCUGCUGUGAAUAGGAAGUACUCAUGAUAUAGUGGGCGUCUGUAGUGGGGCAGUAAUUAAUUAACAAUUUCCAUAUAUUUUCAUUUAAAAAUUCUACGUUGUAGCCAAAGUUGAUUGCCAAACACUAAAUUAAAGAAUGGACCGUUGGAAGUUUUCACAUUUUUUCGGUUAAAGGGUUUGCUUAAAAAAGAUAGAGAGCUACUAAAAGGGACAAUAAAUCAAUUAAUUUUUAAACUUUUAAUGCUUUUCAUAUUAAUUUACUGUUCAAUUGGUAGCUCAAGGGGCAAUUAAUUAAUCGAAUAUUGAGCUCAGAGAAAAAAAAAUAACUAAAUUUUCCAAUAGAAACUCAACGAAAAAAAGCUCCUAAUUCCACAUAGAUCUUUAGAGCUUUUCAUUUAUAUACCUAAAUACUUAAAAUAUCGAUUUAUAAUUUAUUCAAACAUAGAAAACCAAAAACUGUUAUAAUUUUCUGAAUAUAUAAACUGAAAACAUACAAAAAUGACAUAAAAGUGCUCUAAAAAAAUGAACUUAGCAAACUUUUUAAAAGAGCAUAAAAGGUUUUAUUGUAAAAUAGAGGAUUUUAUUGAGCUCUAUUCUCGGAAAAUUCACUUUGUGUCGCAACUACUAUGGUGUACAAAACAUAAUUCAUAACAGUACUGAAGUGGACAAAAGGGAUUAUGUCAGUGCAAUUUAUUAUCCGGCGAGUUAUUUCAGAAAGUUAAAUUAGUUUUACAUUACCAACUUUUUCACACAAUGGAAAGUUUAAUUUUUCCUGAUUUGCCCCACUUUCCCCCAUGCACAUGCAAUUUUGCCCCCACUCUAUCCUAUAUGUAUGUAUAUAUAGUGAAAAUGGGAAAUUGUCCCUGAAAUACGAUUAUAUUCAAUUUAUUUUUCUCCUUCCAUCCAUGCCUUUUGUCUGCCCCACACACCAUAGCCAAAUGGUCAGGAAAUUGAGUUUUCCUCCGCUAUGGGAUUUAUAUUGAAUACAAAAAAAAAGAAUAUACAAGAGAUGUUGAAAAAACAAGAAGAAUUUAAUUGCAUUCUAAAUGGAUUUACAUGAAAAAGCUGCUUGAGACAGAAACAUAAAACCGCAUGUGGAGUAUUUAAUUAAUUUAAUGUUUAGUAAAUAAGAUUAUAAUAAAAUUAACAAGGAAUAAAUUUGGAAAGUUUCUUGACUGAAAUUUCAGGAAAGUUCAUCUUACGGGGUACACAGGGCUAAAGAAUCUCUAAAUUAAUUAAUUCCCCCUCAAAAGUUUCGCCCCAAAAACUUGACAUUCCCAUUCAGGAAUGAAAGUUAUGGCGAGGAGCUUCAUGUUAAAACCACUAAAUUACACCGAGAAUUAAAUUUUCUAAAUUUUACUACUUUUAGUAACUGCAAUGUAAUUUUAGGGGAAUUUUCCAUGGAGUAAAAUAAAAUGUAUAAAUUACAAUCAAA